This 492-nucleotide ribosomal RNA is filed under the name uncultured bacterium. RNAcentral describes it as "partial 16S ribosomal RNA". It matches the Rfam family "Bacterial small subunit ribosomal RNA", at positions 29 to 507 of the family's 1533-position model. The record is from RNAcentral.
AGUGAACGCUGGCGGUAGGCCUAACACAUGCAAGUCGAACGGCAGCACAGUAAGAGCUUGCUCUUACGGGUGGCGAGUGGCGGACGGGUGAGGAAUACAUCGGAAUCUACUUUUUCGUGGGGGAUAACGUAGGGAAACGUACGCUAAUACCGCAUAAGACCUACGGGGGAAAGGGGGGGAGCUUCAGACCUUGCGCGAUUGAAUGAGCCGAUGCCGGAUCGGCGAGUUGGCGGGGUAACGGGCAACCAAGCCGACGAUCCGUAGCUGGGCUGAGAGGAUGAUCGGCCACACUGGAACUGAGACACGGUCCAGACUCCUACGGGAGGCAGCAGUGGGGAAUAUUGGACAAUGGGCGCAAGCCUGAUCCAGCCAUGCCGCGUGGGUGAAGAAGGCCUUCGGGUUGUAAAGCCCUUUUCUUGGGAAAGAAAAGCAGCAUUUUUAUACGCCGCUGUUCUGACGGUACCUAAAGAAUAAGCACCGGCUAACUUCGUG